This 73-nucleotide transfer RNA is filed under the name Felis catus (domestic cat). It matches the Rfam family "tRNA". Rfam says of the family: Transfer RNA (tRNA) molecules are approximately 80 nucleotides in length. Their secondary structure includes four short double-helical elements and three loops (D, anti-codon, and T loops). The record is from Rfam by way of RNAcentral. Lineage: Eukaryota; Metazoa; Chordata; Mammalia; Carnivora; Felidae.
GCCUGACCAGCUCAGUCGGUGAAGCAUGGGACUCUUGAUCCCAGGGCCAUGAGUUCGAGCCCCAUGUAUGGUA